ACGAACGCUGGCGGCGUGCUUAACACAUGCAAGUCGAACGGAAAGGCCCUGCUUUUGUGGGGUGCUCGAGUGGCGAACGGGUGAGUAACACGUGAGUAACCUGCCCUUGACUUUGGGAUAACUUCAGGAAACUGGGGCUAAUACCGGAUAGGAGCUCCUGCUGCAUGGUGGGGGUUGGAAAGUUUCGGCGGUUGGGGAUGGACUCGCGGCUUAUCAGCUUGUUGGUGGGGUAGUGGCUUACCAAGGCUUUGACGGGUAGCCGGCCUGAGAGGGUGACCGGCCACAUUGGGACUGAGAUACGGCCCAGACUCCUACGGGAGGCAGCAGUGGGGAAUAUUGCACAAUUGGCGGAAGCCUGAUGCAGCAACGCCGCGUGCGGGAUGACGGCCUUCGGGUUGUAAACCGCUUUCGCCUGUGACGAAGCGUGAGUGACGGUAAUGGGUAAAGAAGCACCGGCUAACUACGUG
This 467-nucleotide ribosomal RNA is filed under the name uncultured bacterium. RNAcentral's name for it is "partial 16S ribosomal RNA". It matches the Rfam family "Bacterial small subunit ribosomal RNA", at positions 29 to 507 of the family's 1533-position model. The record is from RNAcentral.